This 78-nucleotide transfer RNA is filed under the name Candidatus Izimoplasma sp. HR1. RNAcentral's name for it is "tRNA-Ile2 (CAT) (tRNA-Ile2-CAT-1-1)". It matches the Rfam family "tRNA". From Rfam's summary of the family: Transfer RNA (tRNA) molecules are approximately 80 nucleotides in length. Their secondary structure includes four short double-helical elements and three loops (D, anti-codon, and T loops). Further hydrogen bonds mediate the characteristic L-shaped molecular structure. tRNAs have two regions of fundamental functional importance: the anti-codon, which is responsible for specific mRNA codon recognition, and the 3' end, to which the tRNAs corresponding amino acid is attached (by aminoacyl-tRNA synthetases). tRNAs cope with the degeneracy of the genetic code in two manners: having more than one tRNA (with a specific anti-codon) for a particular amino acid; and 'wobble' base-pairing, i.e. permitting non-standard base-pairing at the 3rd anti-codon position. The record is from RNAcentral. RNAcentral also lists the same sequence under 1 other name. Lineage: Bacteria; Bacillati; Mycoplasmatota; Mollicutes; Candidatus Izemoplasmatales; Candidatus Izemoplasmataceae.
GGACCCGUAGCUCAGUCUGGUUAGAGCUCCCGGCUCAUAACCGGUAGGUCGUAGGUUCGAGUCCUACCGGGUCCACCA